RNAcentral lists this long non-coding RNA (6283 nucleotides) under Paramuricea clavata. Lineage: Eukaryota; Metazoa; Cnidaria; Anthozoa; Malacalcyonacea; Plexauridae. The record is from RNAcentral.
UUUAUAGAACGACAAAAGAAAACAUCGUACAGCAGUAUAUGUACUAAUAGUUACUGAAGAAUGCGAUGACUGGCACGAAGGCAAAUGUGGUAAGAAAUUUGUCAGUACUUAAUGAAAACGUUAAAAGUUAAUCGGGAUUUUAUUCAAUCAUCAUUUUAGUAUUUUUAUUAUAACAUAUAACUAUAUAUUCAACAAUCGAUAUGCAGUACUUCCUCAUAAUUUCUACUGUACUGUGCAGUUACAGUACCUUGCAUGAGACCUUUUCUUUUGUAAGAGUCCUGUUCUAUAUUACCUGUUUGGAUCUUCCGUGUAUUUAUAACAUAUUGUGCAAAUGAAUUUGAUCCAAAUAAAUUUGUUAAAAGUAAAAUAUUUAACCAUUUUCACUGGCUGCAAACCGUUCAUUUUUUACAAUUCGUUUAUUUGUUGUGCAUUGGACGUUAUUUAUAGUGGUUAAUUUUGGACGUGAUGGACGUUAUUCAUGUUGGUUAAUAAUUUCAUGACAUGCACAGCCCUGCACAUGCAAACAUUUAACAAUAUAACAUACUGUAGUUCUGAAAUACAUGUUUUAGGGAGAGUUCGAAAAUGGUUUCCUGUCGAUUCGGCAUCCGAACUGUUGAGGGAAUGUAAGCCAUUUCAGGCCUGUUACCUAGAUAAAGCUGUAACGACGAGGUGACAGGUAGGUUUUCUCGUGUUUCGGCUUGGAUUUUUUUUAAUACCUUAUCCAAUUUGCAGUGCUUUAAUUACAGUGCCGUGCAAUUACACUGUGUGAAGAACACUUUAAGGAAUUUCUCGUUCUAUAGAGACCUUUUUGCACGAAAUGAAAUAACGCAUUCGCAGUAAAGAUAAAUUAGGCUUCGCGAGAAACAUUUUCGCUUCGUCAGUGAGUGGAAGUCAGUUCUAUACUCACUGCGAAAGCGAAGAAAGUGCAUGGGAAAAUUCGAUAGAAUCUCCUACGUGUAUGUGCAACCAUCCAUGCCAGAAUCAUUUAUUAUAAAGAAGAUACUCAAUUUCUCGUGAAGAAUUUCGUUUUCGUGAAAGACUGCAUUCCCUGGAAUAUUUCUCAAUUUCACGUUAAUUACCACAACAAGUACAGUACACAUUGAAUAACACACAAAGCUAUAGAUGCUGUCCUUUUAUUCAUUUAGUUAUUUCAUAAGUAACAUGGAAAUAGAUGUGAACGUUUCCUCGCGUGUACAGCUAAGGCCAAAAAAAUAUGUGGGUUUCCUAUUUCUUCUUGUAAAAACUUAGGUAGGGUAGGUCGGUUUUAACUUUUUUUAAAACUUUUUUUUUAAUUUUCCUAACAACAGGACGCCAUUUUGUUUAGUCAACCGGACGCCAUUUUGUUUAGUCACAAACGUUUUCCUUUCCUAAGUGGAAACACUUACAAGCAUGAUCCAAUAAAAAAGUUUAGGGUCGGGAUUUCGGCGUCCAAAAGCUAGGUAGGGUCGGGAAACCGGAAACCCACGCAUUUUUUUUCCUAAUUCAGUUAAGGUUGUCCUUCAAAGUCAAAAGUCAAAACCACAAAACCUCGACCUCCAAGCGCGUAAAGCUCGUUGGACUCAUUGAAAUGAAUAUAACUGGAAGGCUACCUCCAACCGGAAAUUUGAAGCCAAACUUGAAGGCCAGUCCCAGUCUUUUCACGCAUGCGAAGAGCGCCCAAUCAGUCAAUCAUGAUAUAAACACGCGGUUCUUGUCCACUAGAAACGCGUGUCUGUUCAGGAUUUGGCUUCAAGACCUUACGAUGUGGGACGGCAACGUGACGACGACGGCUAUUCAUACAAUGAGAUUCAUAAUAUUUAAGAAAAAAAUGAAUAAUUAUCCUACAGGAGUUUGAGACAUCAUCCAUGGUCUGUUUACAACGGGAAACUACAGACUUUUACGUCUUGGAUACAACGCCUGUAUUUCAAGACGCGAGAAGUGAUACUCAGCAAAUUAGCUCAGUACUACAGUGGAACUUUCUCAACAAUAAAGCCACUAUUUCAAGCUAACCAAACAGUUUUAUUAAUUUCAAUGGGUGGAGAUGCAUAUGUUAUAAUUAAGUAAUUAGUAGUCCGACACUCCGUAGUUACGGAUGGUACGUCCCACGAGCCGUUUUGGUAUCGGCGUAAAAAAGCGAAUUCCGUGCUUUUCACCUAUUUCGGAUUUUAUUUGCUCGUCUAACCCGUACAAUAGCAAGUCCGGCAGAAUUAAUUGGAUUUUUAAACUUUCUAACGUUAUAAAGAAAGUUGUUUGUGGGAGAUGCUUCACUACUUUGGGAAUUAAAUCCACUUGAUUAGCAUAAAUGUGCUAACAUGCAUGCAUGCACAAACAAUCUUAUAAUGAUAAACACGCCCAUUUUUCGCGCUUAGAGGUCGAGUUUUUGUGGUUUUCAAAGGGCAACCCUAAUUGAAUUAGCUGUAUACGUACUGCAGUAUGUAUGAAACCGCUUAACUGAAAUGCAUGGCCUUUAAGAUUCUCCAAAUUCAGUAAAGUUCUCGUCAGCCUGAAAGAUACUAAAGUGGGAUUUCCAUAUUUCAAGGGCCUCUCGCCUGAAAUUUACAAUCGAACAGGCAUGUGGUAUAGACUGAAUCCCCAUCCCCUAUGUUACAUGCCACACACCCUUCCUCUGAAAAGUCAGAACCAUAUAGGCACUGCAAUAUAUCUCCAAAUAUUGAUUUGACGUGUAUGUCUAACAAGUGGCAGGUCAGUUUGUUCUUCCCCGUUUUUUGGAAAGGAUUGCGGAAUGCGGAAAUUAUUACCCAAUUAGUUUUUAGUGUGUAGUUUCUUCGAAACUUCACAAUAUUGUGAUGAGUGGCGAAAAAUUCACAUGUAUCAGUCAUUCAUUCAGUCAUAGAGUAAACUUUCCGGGGGGUGUAUACGAUUUAUGUUUGUAGUGAUUUAUUGUACUUAGGCCCGGUUUAGACGGCGAACUUUUCAUGCGCCGAAUCUAAUGCAAGGAUUAAGUGCGACGUUGGAGCGGCGUCUAAAUCAAUUAAGUUCGGCAGGUUUUGAUUAAGUUCGACACGACUCGAAGAUGCGACAGGACAAGUCGUAUAUGCGACACAGGUUCGACAUUGAUUUAGACGCCGUGCUUUUCAUGCGCCGAACCUAAUGCAUAAUUAUUUUUUAACAUCAUAAUAUGAUUAUCAUAUAUUUGCAUUGUAAAUAUUUCCAAUAUAAUGUCUUCGCAAUUUGGUACGGUGCAAUUAAGUUCGACGUCUAAAUCAGUUUCCCAUAUUUUGCCGUAUCUACGACAAUUAGAUUCGGCGCAUGAGAAGUUCGCCGUCUAAACCGGGCCUAGUCAGUGCUUUGAAGCAAUUUAGGCAAUUUCAGUUGUCUUAUUUAAAUAUUCUUUUAUCCUUUUGCCAAGUUCACAAAAAUUUCGAGGAAUCGUUUCGUUAUUUUCAUUUUUUGCAAAUUUUAUAACAUUCGCUUCUCAUGUUGUGUAAAGGAUCUUUACCCCGGAACACCCGGCGCCCAAUUAAGUGCCAGAAUAUUAAGUGCCAGAUAUUAUUUAGACCGUGUAUUCAUUAUACAAUGACUGUAUAAGGUGCUACACCACAGAAUAGAUGGCUACACUCAGCACAAAGAGCGAAAAAUUGCGGCAUGUAGUAAAACACUGACUACCGGAACACCGGAACACCACCGGAACACCGGAACACCACCAUUUUGUUUGGGGUUAGGGGUUGGGGUUAGGGUUAGGAUUGGGGGUUAGGGUUGGGGUUAGGGUUAGGAUUGGGGGUUAGGGUUGGGGUUAGGGUUAGGUGGUGUUCCGGUGGUGUUCCGGCGGUGUUCCGGUAGUCAGUGUUUUACUACAUGCCAAAAAUUGCAUCGGACAAUAUUAAAAGCGUAAACAACUAUUAAACAGAAGCGGGUGUUUGUAUGGCGUUUACGAAGAAAAUAACUUGCGAUCUAGUCUCUAGACUAAAGAAAUCAGUUGAGUCAGAGCUUUUUAUUUAUACAAGAAAGACGAGGAGAUAGCCAACGUGCCAACAAGCUUUAUGCAAUAGAAGAAAAAGGCAAGGAGGUAGCCAACGUGUACCGUCACAGUUUACUGUCUAUAUAGCACAACGUCAACGGUGCAAACUCGUGUUCAGUGCAACGAUAACGCUACCAGAUCUUACGAGAAUCAAUCUGUUCACAGAGCCGUAUCAAAGCUUGUUAAAACUGCUAUAAACACUGCUAUAACUGUGAAACUAUUGAAAUCUAAGGUGUCAUUAUUGAAUACAUGCGAAAAGCUGAAAAUGACUCAUGAAACGCAAUGUGACAUUGCCAUUGGGAAUAAGUCAAAGGUCAAUCAGACUUGUUAUUGUGAAACAUGUCACAAUUAGGUUAAAAUGCGGAAGCGGAUGGAGCGGAUCCACGGAACGGAUAUGGGGAUAAAAUAUAGAACGGAUGGGGAUAAAAUGCGUUCUUUUAACGAUGCAACGUAGUGCUUAUUAUUCAUAACAUAUCUUAUACAGCUAUUUGGAUGAUGAGAAUAAUCGUAUCAAAUAAGUUCAGCGUAUCAGUAGCCUCGCGAAGAUGCUUUUAGCGACAGCUGCAAAUGCAAAUAAAGUUUUAGAAUAUGCAAAAUUUGGGUGUUGGUGAAACAAUUUAAAUUUCGAGUUGUCGCAUGUAGCAUCACAAUAAAUAAAUAUAUUGUAUCAGUUCCACGAGGCACGUUUCUGAUCUGUUAGGCUUGUUUCAAACGUCGCGCUACUCAUGUGCCGAACGCAUUAUAAAAUAGAUGAGAUGAAAUGCCUUUCGUAACUGUUUAUUUCGUAGUGUAAGCCAUCAGCUUUUCUAGGUUGUCGGCAACCCUAUAUAGUUCUUGCAGUGUCUUUUUCAAUUUGAAACUUCACACUAUCCUUGGAUCCCUAGUUAAUUUUUACGUUUUGUCUUUAAAUUGUAGUUACCUUUUAAAUCCGGAUUAUAGUCAUCCUUCAUACACUAAAGUUCACUUUUAGUUAACUGCUUUUUAUGCAACCCGUCGCUGCCCGUAAAUAAUUUUCACGUUUUUGAAAUAUCGUAAAUUUGUGUUUUCCAACAGCUCUGGAAUUUGUCUCGAAGAUUCUUUGUGACAAGGAAAAACGUAAUGUGUGUACAAGAGGCUCAUACAGUUGUGGAAAGAUUUAGUUUUGUGCAAAACGACUGAUUAUACGUGUAUAAACGAGCUAUCCGAAGUUUUCCAGGUGUGCUAUAUGCUUUUUGUCUCUUUAUCAUGAAAUGCAUAUUUUUUAUUUAUUGUAUGCUGCAUAGCUAAAAUAUAAUAUUUAAUAAAAGAGUAUAUGUUUUGUCAAGAUCAUUUACAAGAUGUAAAGUGUAUAAUUAUUAUAAAGAUUAGGUCAAGCCCGUUCGGCGGAUGUGCGGUUUGUUUACAUAUGAUGUAGGCUACUUAUAUAUAGUUAAUACCUAACAUUGGUCUGGUUCGCUAUGCUUUUAAAUGAAUAUGAUUAGAGUUUCAAUUUAGAAAAUGUCGAAAUAACGCUAAUUUUGGAUGUUGUUUACACCAGAGAACACCGUGGAAAAACGUCUGCGCAUGCGCGUGUUCUAGAAAAAAUGGCGAGGAAUUUAAAUGCCAAAUUGUAAACAAAAACAUGGCUAUUUAAUUAUUUAAGGAAAAAUACACCAGACGGGUAGUUUAGACAUUAAUAUCUAAAAAGAAACAGAAUUUAAAUUAAAAAUUACGCUUUAGAACGUGUCAACAUUUCUUGAAAAAUUGUCGAAUAUAGUCAACGCAAAAAUUAUACAUGCUGCGCAAAAAACGUUAUUGAGAAAAAUGUGGAUCAUAUGAACCUACGAAAAAUAUCUUUGUAUGGUCCAGUUAAAGAACGUUUUAUACAAUAAAUUUAUCGACAGUCACCUUUCGUUCAUUUUAUAGCAUAUUACUAUUUCCCGCGCAUGUAGACUGUAAUUAUUUCUAGUUUUUAGGUUGUCACAGUCAUUAUUCCGCCGCUUGCAUUUUCACAGAAAAGGCAAAACAUCGAAGUUGCUCCUUGUCGCUUCCAUUUUGAGUUUUUGAACCUUCGGAAUACUUGACACCACGUUCGCAAGGCAAAUUUCAGUAAGGCUGACGCAUGCGCAGACGUUUUUCCACGGUGUUACACAAGAGGGUCCUCACACAGCACAUGCGCAGAACAAACUUGACCGCAUCUUAAAGUGUCUUUUUCUGUAUAUGUAAAUAGGAAUUUUGAAAGUAAAUAAAUGUCGUUUCAUAAAUUUUGUUCUUUAAUCACACAUUUUGCUGACUAUAAACAAUUAUUGGACGAGGUUAAGCACAAAUGUACGAAAGCACAUGUAAAGGACAAAUAUAUAAACCAAU